Molecule: non-coding RNA, 48 nt
Filed under: Schistosoma mansoni
Lineage: Eukaryota; Metazoa; Platyhelminthes; Trematoda; Strigeidida; Schistosomatidae
Source: RNAcentral
AUCCAGCUGACCAGCCCCAAAUAGGACGAAACGCGCGUCAAACUGGAU